RNAcentral lists this ribosomal RNA (474 nucleotides) under uncultured Rhodopirellula sp. RNAcentral describes it as "bacterial SSU rRNA". It matches the Rfam family "Bacterial small subunit ribosomal RNA", at positions 29 to 507 of the family's 1533-position model. Lineage: Bacteria; Pseudomonadati; Planctomycetota; Planctomycetia; Pirellulales; Pirellulaceae. The record is from RNAcentral.
AUGAACGUUGGCGGCGUGGAUUAGGCAUGCAAGUCGAGCGAGAAACCAAUUAGCUUGCUAAGAGGUGGACAGCGGCGAAAGGGAGAGUAACGCGUGGUUACGUGCCCUCGGGACCGGGAUAGUGUUGGGAAACUGGCAGUAAUACCGGAUAACAUCUAUGGAUCAAAUGGUGAGAUUCCGCCCGAGGAUCGGACCGCGUACUAUUAGCUUGUUGGCGGGGUAAUGGCCCACCAAGGCUGCGAUGGUUACCGGGUGUGAGAGCAUGGCCCGGCUCACUGGGACUGAGACACUGCCCAGACAUCUACGGAUGGCUGCAGUCGAGAAUCUUCGGCAAUGGACGAAAGUCUGACCGAGCGACGCCGCGUGCGGGAUGAAGGCCCUCGGGUUGUAAACCGCUGUCAGUUGGGAGGAAAUUCAUGGGGGUUCUCCCCUGUGAUUGACCGAGCUUCAGAGGAAGGACGGGCUAAGUUCGUG